This 307-nucleotide ribosomal RNA is filed under the name uncultured bacterium. Its description in RNAcentral is "bacterial SSU rRNA". It matches the Rfam family "Bacterial small subunit ribosomal RNA", at positions 28 to 334 of the family's 1533-position model. The record is from RNAcentral.
GAUGAACGCUAGCGGGAGGCUUAAUACAUGCAAGUCGAACGGUAACAGGUCCUUCGGGAUGCUGACGAGUGGCGAACGGGUGCGUAACACGUACACGACCUACCUUCAAGAGGGGAAUAGCCCUGGGAAACUGGGAUUAAUACCGCAUAGUAUUAUUUGGCUGCAUGGCUGAAUAAUUAAAGCUUAGGCGCUUGAAGAUGGGUGUGCGUUCCAUUAGGUAGAUGGUGAGGUAACGGCUCACCAUGCCUACGAUGGAUAGCGGGUCUGGGAGGAUGAUCCGCCACACGGGCACUGAGACACGGGCCCG